This 440-nucleotide ribosomal RNA is filed under the name uncultured bacterium. Its description in RNAcentral is "bacterial SSU rRNA". It matches the Rfam family "Bacterial small subunit ribosomal RNA", at positions 338 to 769 of the family's 1533-position model. The record is from RNAcentral.
CCUACGGGAGGCAGCAGUGGGGAAUCUUGCGCAAUGGACGAAAGUCUGACGCAGCGACGCCGUGUGAGUGAAGAAGGCCUGCGGGUUGUAAAGCUCUGUCAAGAGGGACGAAAAUGUUUUGGGUUAACAGCCCAAGGCACUGACGGUACCUCUGGAGGAAGCACCGGCUAACUUCGUGCCAGCAGCCGCGGUAAUACGAAGGGUGCAAGCGUUGCUCGGAAUUAUUGGGCGUAAAGGGGAGGUAGGUGGUCUCGUUUGUCCGGGGUGAAAUCCCUAGGCUUAACCUAGGACGUGCCUCGGAAACGGCGAGACUAGAGUACUGGAGAGGUUAGCGGAAUACCCGGUGUAGCGGUGAAAUGCGUAGAGAUCGGGUGGAACACCAGAGGCGAAGGCGGCUAACUGGACAGUUACUGACACUAAACUCCGAAAGCGUGGGGAGC